GAGCCCGGGCGGAGCGGCCGUCGG
This 24-nucleotide non-coding RNA is filed under the name Arabidopsis thaliana (thale cress). The record is from RNAcentral. RNAcentral also lists the same sequence under 1 other name. Lineage: Eukaryota; Viridiplantae; Streptophyta; Magnoliopsida; Brassicales; Brassicaceae.